RNAcentral lists this long non-coding RNA (314 nucleotides) under Rattus norvegicus (Norway rat). RNAcentral describes it as "long non-coding RNA NONRATT012151". Lineage: Eukaryota; Metazoa; Chordata; Mammalia; Rodentia; Muridae. The record is from RNAcentral.
UCUGUAUGACAUCUGUGACUACAACGUCACCAGGGACCAGUGCAAGGAGCUCGGAUGCUGUUUCUACAAGGGCGUCUGCUACAAGAAGGUUGUCCCCAGAAAAUGUCGGGAUGGUGAAGCCUGGGUAUGAGACUGUCCCUACCAAGACGGCUGCUGGACAAAGGGUGCUGCCGGCUGAAGCAGUCUGGUCGGGCGGUGGUGUCUAGCCGAGGACCGUGGGGACAUGACGUGACUGGGUUUUCUCCUGAGAUCAUUUUGGCACCACGCUAAAGCACAAUACAGUUCUGAGAUCAGGCUUGGGCUAUAUCCAAGGA